UGCGUGCAAAUCACGUUGAAACACCGGAUCUCGAACGAUCACCGAAGUUAAGCAACGAUACGCCUGGUCAGUACCUAGAUGGGUGACCGUUUGGGAAUAUCAGGUGCUAUA
Acanthosepion pharaonis is the source of this 111-nucleotide non-coding RNA. Lineage: Eukaryota; Metazoa; Mollusca; Cephalopoda; Sepiida; Sepiidae. The record is from the annotation of a GenBank genome assembly.